Oncorhynchus keta (chum salmon) is the source of this 1328-nucleotide long non-coding RNA. RefSeq lists it as uncharacterized. Lineage: Eukaryota; Metazoa; Chordata; Actinopteri; Salmoniformes; Salmonidae. The record is from RefSeq and is a predicted model, not a curated record. The transcript is spliced from 6 exons.
AGAGAGGUCUGUCUAUUAAUGGAGGGGCUCAGCGCUAGGUUAGCAUGUCAGAGAGGUCUGUCUAUUAAUGGAGGGGCUCAGCGCUAGGUUAGCAUGUCAGAGAGGUCUGUCUAUUAAUGGUGGGGCUCAGCGCUAGGUUAGCAUGUCAGAGAGGUCUGUCUAUUAAUGGUGGGGCUCAGCGCUAGGUUAGCAUGUCAGAGAGGUCUGUCUAUUAAUGGAGGGGCUCAGCGCUAGGUUAGCAUGUCAGAGAGGUCUGUCUAUUAAUGGAAGGGCUCAGCGCUAGGUUAGCAUGUCAGAGAGGUCUGUCUAUUAAUGGAGGGGCUCAGCGCUAGGUUAGCAUGUCAGAGAGGUCUGUCUAUUAAUGGAGGGGCUCAGCGCUAGGUUAGCAUGUCAGAGAGGUCUGUCUAUUAAUGGAGGGGCUCAGCGCUAGGUUAGCAUGUCAGAGAGGUCUGUCUAUUAAUGGAGGGGCUCAGCGCUAGGUUAGCAUGUCAGAGAGGUCUGUCUAUUAAUGGUGGGGCUCAGCGCUAGGUUAGCAUGUCAGAGGUCUGUCUAUUAAUGGAGGGGCUCAGCGCUAGGUUAGCAUGUCAGAGAGGUCUGUCUAUUAAUGGAGGGGCUCAGCGCUAGGUUAGCAUGUCAGAGAGGUCUGUCUAUUAAUGGUGGGGCUCAGCGCUAGGUUAGCAUGUCAGAGGUCUGUCUAUUAAUGGUGGGGCUCAGCGCUAGGUUAGCAUGUCAGAGAGGUCUGUCUAUUAAUGGUGGGGCUCAGCGCUAGGUUAGCAUGUCAGAGAGGUCUGUCUAUUAAUGGUGGGGCUCAGCGCUAGGUUAGCAUGUCAGAGAGGUCUGUCUAUUAAUGGUGGGGCUCAGCGCUAGGUUAGCAUGUCAGAGAGGUCUGUCUAUUAAUGGAGGGGCUCAGCGCUAGGUUAGCAUGUCAGAGAGGUCUGUCUAUUAAUGGAGGGGCUCAGCGCUAGGUUAGCAUGUCAGAGAGGUCUGUCUAUUAAUGGUGGGGCUCAGCGCUAGGUUAGCAUGUCAGAGAGGUCUGUCUAUUAAUGGAGGGGCUCAGCGCUAGGUUAGCAUGUCAGAGAGGUCUGUCUAUUAAUGGUGGGGCUCAGCGCUAGGUUAGCAUGUCAGAGAGGUCUGUCUAUUAAUGGAGGGGCUCAGCGCUAGGUUAGCAUGUCAGAGAGGUCUGUCUAUUAAUGGAGGGGCUCAGCGCUAGGUUAGCAUGUCAGAGAGGUCUGUCUAUUAAUGGUGGGGCUCAGCGCUAGGUUAGCAUGUCAGAGAGGUCUGUCUAUUAAUGGAGGGGCUCAGCGCUAGGUUAGCAUGUCAGAGAGAUC